This 451-nucleotide ribosomal RNA is filed under the name Polaribacter sp. ini7. RNAcentral describes it as "bacterial SSU rRNA". It matches the Rfam family "Bacterial small subunit ribosomal RNA", at positions 77 to 525 of the family's 1533-position model. The record is from RNAcentral. Lineage: Bacteria; Pseudomonadati; Bacteroidota; Flavobacteriia; Flavobacteriales; Flavobacteriaceae.
UGCUUGCACUAGAUGACGACCGGCGCACGGGUGCGUAACGCGUAUAGAAUCUACCUUUUACAGGGGGAUAGCCUUUAGAAAUGAAGAUUAAUAUCCCAUAGUAUUGCGAAGUGGCAUCACUUUGUAAUUAAAGAUUUAUCGGUAAAAGAUGACUAUGCGUCCUAUUAGUUAGUUGGUAAGGUAACGGCUUACCAAGACAUCGAUAGGUAGGGGUCCUGAGAGGGAGAUCCCCCACACUGGUACUGAGACACGGACCAGACUCCUACGGGAGGCAGCAGUGAGGAAUAUUGGGCAAUGGAGGUAACUCUGACCCAGCCAUGCCGCGUGCAGGAAGACUGCCCUAUAGGUUGUAAACUGCUUUUAUACAGGAAGAAACACUGCUACGUGUAGCAGCUUGACGGUACUGUAAGAAUAAGGACCGGCUAACUCCGUGCCAGCAGCCGCGGUAAUA